Molecule: long non-coding RNA, 1147 nt
Organism: Lolium perenne
Lineage: Eukaryota; Viridiplantae; Streptophyta; Magnoliopsida; Poales; Poaceae
Source: RefSeq, a predicted model, not a curated record
UCCCAUCCCGAAACCAGUCCACCAAACCCUAGUUUCCCUCCCUCGCGCCACCACCACCUCCCUCUCUCCUCUCCUUCCCUCGCGCCGCCGCGAGGUGCCAAUCGAUACGAGCCCGACGACGCGAGAUCCGCAGCCCAUCUUCCCCAUCUUCCUCUCCCUCUCUUUAGACGUUGUGCUCUCGCGGCAUCACAUCAAUCCAUGGCCAGAAACGCCAGAUCCGCCGUCCUGGCCGCGCGUUCCUGUGCCACAGUGAUGGGAGCUGCCGACUCCUCCGGCUGCGUGUUCAUCUUCAGCGUACGCAGGAGCAAGGUUCAGCCUGCCAUGGCCGCCGCACCCUGCUCGUGGACCACGAGCCUGGCAGCAUGGACCCGGUGCGCUCGAGGCUCUUCGGCCAGAUCUUCCGCCCCGACAACUUCGUCUUCAGCCAGUCCGGCGCCGGGAACAACUGGGCCAAGGGCCACUACACCGAGGGUGCUGAGCUCAUCGACUCCGUCUUGACGUCGUCUGCCAGGAGGUCGAGAACUGCGACUCUCUCCAGGUUGUCGGAGCCGUAGUCGAAGCAAGAGAGCGACAGUAAGUGCUAUUCAGAAAAACAUGAUAGAGAACCUUCUUUCGAAGGAGGUGGAGCAUAUUGGUUUACUGAUUUGAUGACUCUGAAUGAUCUUUACAUCCUCCCUGUGUUGACAUCAAUGGCAUACGCUGCGGAGAUCCACAAGCAAAGAGAGAGAGAGAGGCCAUUGUGGUAGCUCAUGGCCUCCCUGGCGCUAGAUACGUCUGCCCCGGCGUCGCUGCAGCUGGAGCUGCCUGCUUGAACUGAUUUAUGCCUCCCUGUAGAUGGAUGAUGUGGGGCCUGGAGGGGACGAUGACACAGCGAACUAUCUGCCCUGUCUACUUGGAUCUCUGAACAAGCGACGACGACAACCACAUCAGGUAAUGAGUGGUGUUCCUCUCUCUUACAAGAGCUCCAGGCUGAUGUUCAACGAAGCCAGUAGCCCCACCCAGCAAAAAUGAUGUACUUUCAGCUCUAGAUUUCAGAGCUAGCAGCAGUACUGUGAUUGAUUUUUUCAUUUGUUUGCCUUGUCCAUUUGAAAUAUUGGUUAUUUACUGUAAUAUUGAAAGAAACUUAAGCCUAUCAGCUUUUGAUUUA